CAGGUUGAAAUUAUGAAGAGAGGAAGGGAUAAACAAAUAACAAUAAAAUAAACCAAUCAAGUUGAAUAGUCAAAACUUGUCUCUUUUUUUGUCCCUUCUUUCCACACCAUCUAUUUUGUCUUCAAACCACUAUCUUAUUUUUUAAAAUACCAAUAUUCUCUCAUGCUUUUAAACAAAAGAAAAAUCCUUUAUUUUUUACGUCUUCCUAGUUCCUCC
This 216-nucleotide long non-coding RNA is filed under the name Vigna radiata. Its description in RNAcentral is "long non-coding RNA (VRAD_LNC002174)". Lineage: Eukaryota; Viridiplantae; Streptophyta; Magnoliopsida; Fabales; Fabaceae. The record is from RNAcentral.